This 549-nucleotide ribosomal RNA is filed under the name uncultured archaeon. Its description in RNAcentral is "bacterial SSU rRNA". It matches the Rfam family "Archaeal small subunit ribosomal RNA", at positions 328 to 879 of the family's 1478-position model. The record is from RNAcentral.
GGGUGCAGCAGGCGCGAAAACUUUGCAAUAAGCGAAAGCUUGACAGGGCUAUCCCGAGUGCCAUCCGCUGAGGAAGGCUUUUACCCAGUCUAGAACGCUGGGGGAAUAAGGAGAGGGCAAGUCUGGUGUCAGCCGCCGCGGUAAUACCAGCUCUCCGAGUGGUGUGGAUGUUUAUUGGGCCUAAAGCAUCCGUAGCUGGCUAGGUCAGUCCCUUGUUAAAUCCACCGAAUUAAUCGUUGGAUUGCGGGGGAUACUGCUUGGCUAGGGGACGAGAGAGGCAGACGGUAUUUUCGGGGUAGGGGUGAAAUCCUAUAAUCCCGGGAAGACCACCAGUGGCGAAGGCUGUCUGCUAGAACGCGCCCGACGGUGAGGGAUGAAAGCUGGGGGAGCGAACCGGAUUAGAUACCCGGGUAGUCCCAGCUGUAAACGAUGCAGACUAGGUGUUUGGACGGCCACGUGCCGUUCUAGUGCCGCAGGGAAGCUGUUAAGUCUGCCGCCUGGGGAGUACGAUCGCAAGAUUGAAACUUAAAGGAAUUGGCGGGGGAGCAC